RNAcentral lists this ribosomal RNA (500 nucleotides) under uncultured bacterium. Its description in RNAcentral is "bacterial SSU rRNA". It matches the Rfam family "Bacterial small subunit ribosomal RNA", at positions 28 to 517 of the family's 1533-position model. The record is from RNAcentral.
GAUGAACGCUAGCUACAGGCUUAACACAUGCAAGUCGAGGGGCAGCAUGAACAUAGCUUGCUAUGUUUGAUGGCGACCGGCGCACGGGUGCGUAACACGUAUCCAAUCUGCCCGUUACUCGGGGAUAGCCUUCUGAAAGGAAGAUUAAUACCCGAUGGCAUGUAUUUCCGGCAUCGGAGAUACAUUAAAGAUUUAUCGGUAACGGAUGAGGAUGCGUACGAUUAGCUGGUUGGCGGGGUAACGGCCCACCAAGGCGACGAUCGUUAGGGGUUCUGAGAGGAAGGUCCCCCACACUGGAACUGAGACACGGUCCAGACUCCUACGGGAGGCAGCAGUGAGGAAUAUUGGUCAAUGGUCGAGAGACUGAACCAGCCAAGUAGCGUGAAGGAUGACUGCCCUACGGGUUGUAAACUUCUUUUGUUCGGGAAUAAAGUUCAGUAUGUAUACUGUUUUGUAUGUACCGUUCGAAUAAGCAUCGGCUAAUUCCGUGCCAGCAGCCG